GUAGGUACAGCUCAAGUGGUAGAGCGCAUGCUUAGCGUGCGGGAGAGCCUGGGUUCAAUCCCCAGUACCCCCU
Molecule: transfer RNA, 73 nt
Filed under: Camelus bactrianus (Bactrian camel)
Lineage: Eukaryota; Metazoa; Chordata; Mammalia; Artiodactyla; Camelidae
Also listed under: 1 other name
Rfam family: tRNA
About the family: Transfer RNA (tRNA) molecules are approximately 80 nucleotides in length. Their secondary structure includes four short double-helical elements and three loops (D, anti-codon, and T loops).
Source: Rfam by way of RNAcentral